AGUGAACGCUGGCGGUAGGCCUAACACAUGCAAGUCGAACGGCAGCACAGUAAGAGCUUGCUCUUACGGGUGGCGAGUGGCGGACGGGUGAGGAAUACAUCGGAAUCUACUUUUUCGUGGGGGAUAACGUAGGGAAACUUACGCUAAUACCGCAUACGACCUACGGGUGAAAGCAGGGGAUCUUCGGACCUUGCGCGAUUGAAUGAGCCGAUGUCGGAUUAGCUAGUUGGCGGGGUAAAGGCCCACCAAGGCGACGAUCCGUAGCUGGUCUGAGAGGAUGAUCAGCCACACUGGAACUGAGACACGGUCCAGGCCCCUACGGGAGGCAGCAGUGGGGAAUAUUGGACAAUGGGCGCAAGCCUGAUCCAGCCAUACCGCGUGGGUGAAGAAGGCCUUCGGGUUGUAAAGCCCUUUUGUUGGGAAAGAAAAGCAGCAGGUUAAUACCCCGCUGUUCUGACGGUACCCAAAGAAUAAGCACCGGCUAACUUCGU
This 491-nucleotide ribosomal RNA is filed under the name uncultured bacterium. Its description in RNAcentral is "partial 16S ribosomal RNA". It matches the Rfam family "Bacterial small subunit ribosomal RNA", at positions 29 to 506 of the family's 1533-position model. The record is from RNAcentral.